Molecule: ribosomal RNA, 253 nt
Filed under: uncultured bacterium
Lineage: Bacteria
Description: partial 16S ribosomal RNA
Rfam family: Bacterial small subunit ribosomal RNA
Source: RNAcentral
GACAGAGGGGGCAAGCGUUGCUCGGAAUUACUGGGCGUAAAGGGCGCGUAGGCGGGAUGGCAAGUCGGUCGUGAAAUCCCUCGGCUCAACUGAGGAACGUCGAUCGAUACUGCUGUUCUUGAGGAUUGCAGAGGAGACUGGAAUUCCCGGUGUAGCGGUGAAAUGUGUAGAGAUCGGGAGGAACCCCAGAGGCGAAGGCGGCGCUCUGGCUCGCAACUGACGCUCAGACACGACAGCAUGGGGAGCGAACGGG